RNAcentral lists this ribosomal RNA (419 nucleotides) under Megymenum brevicorne. RNAcentral describes it as "partial 16S ribosomal RNA". The stretch from base 1 to 199 matches the Rfam family "Archaeal large subunit ribosomal RNA", at positions 1900 to 2143 of the family's 2987-position model. Lineage: Eukaryota; Metazoa; Arthropoda; Insecta; Hemiptera; Dinidoridae. The record is from RNAcentral.
CAAAAACAUGUCCUGUUGAAUGUUUAUAUUAGGUCUAGCCUGCCCACUGAUAGAUUUAUUGAAGGGCCGCAGUAAUUUGACUGUGCGAAGGUAGCAUAAUCAUUUGUCUAUUAAUUGUAGGCUUGUAUGAAUGGUUUGAUGAGAUAUUAACUUUCUUUAUAUAAGAAAAUGAAUUUAAUUUUUAAGUUAAAAAGCUUAAAUGAAGUUGGAGGACGAGAAGACCCUAUAGAAUUUUAUUAUUUCUUAUUUUAUCUUUUUUUGGAUUUAUUAAUGAUUAAAAUAUAGAAUAAUAAAUAAUUGUGUUGGGGCGACAUGGAAAUAUUAUUAACUUUCUAUAUAUCUUAUUUAUUUAUGUAUAUUUUAAGGAUCCUAUACUUUGGGAUUAUAAGAUUAAAUUACCUUAGGGAUAACAGCGUAAU